CGGUAGUCUCUGUCUCGGAGUCCGGCCUCACUACUCGUCCUUACCCGUGACGCGCCGUAUUACCGCGGCAAGGCCAUAAGCCUGUUUGAUCCGUCAUCGGUCUCGGGCUCUCCACACUAAAUAUAUUAAUCGACUUCUUCCACCUGACAUGAUUUUUUAUCACGUGCUUCAAUUCCACUCUAGAAAUUAUGAUUUACUAUCUAUAUCCAAAUUUCGUAGCAACAAAUUUCGUAAUUCCUUCUAUAUAAGAGCUGCUAUAAACUUUAAUAAUACAAUGUUAAUACAGGCUGUUAUUAGGUUCUUGAUUCAUUUAUUGGGUGCUUUUUUUAUUUUGUUAUUUUUGGGGAGCUCUAAUUGUGUACGCUCUGAGUGUUUGUGUAAAUAAAUAAAUAAAUAAAUAAACAAUAGUCUUCAUUUAGCAUUUCAUAACUCAGACUAACAUCGUAGCUCAG
Molecule: long non-coding RNA, 452 nt
Filed under: Androctonus crassicauda
Lineage: Eukaryota; Metazoa; Arthropoda; Arachnida; Scorpiones; Buthidae
Source: RNAcentral